Macaca fascicularis (crab-eating macaque) is the source of this 104-nucleotide small nucleolar RNA. The record is from Ensembl. Lineage: Eukaryota; Metazoa; Chordata; Mammalia; Primates; Cercopithecidae.
AUCCUUUUGUAGUUCAUCAGCAUGAUGAUUGGGUUUUCACACACAUGUGUAAUAUGUGCCUCCCUCAAACCAUGUUAUGACCUCAGUAUAUUACCUGUCUGAUA